Molecule: small nucleolar RNA, 105 nt
Organism: Perognathus longimembris pacificus (Pacific pocket mouse)
Lineage: Eukaryota; Metazoa; Chordata; Mammalia; Rodentia; Heteromyidae
Product: small nucleolar RNA U13
Exons: 1
Source: RefSeq, a predicted model, not a curated record
AUCCUUUUCUGGUUCAUAAGCAUGAUGAUUGUGUUCUCAUGCACUUGCAUGACAUAUGCCUCCCUCUAAACCUUGUUACAACACGAGCACAUUAUCCAUCUGACA